Molecule: ribosomal RNA, 253 nt
Filed under: uncultured bacterium
Lineage: Bacteria
Description: partial 16S ribosomal RNA
Rfam family: Bacterial small subunit ribosomal RNA
Source: RNAcentral
UACGUAGGGGGCAAGCGUUGUCCGGAAUCAUUGGGCGUAAAGAGCGCGUAGGCGGUCCGGUAAGUCCGCUGUGAAAGUCAAGGGCUCAACCCUUGAAUGCCGGUGGAUACUGUCGGGCUAGAGUCCGGAAGAGGCGAGUGGAAUUCCUGGUGUAGCGGUGAAAUGCGCAGAUAUCAGGAGGAACACCGAUGGCGAAGGCAGCUCGCUGGGACGGUACUGACGCUGAGGCGCGAAAGCGUGGGGAGCGAACAGG